AUUUGGGGAGAGUUUGUAAGUAAGUAACUCCCCAGGUUUAUUAAGUUUAUAUUUUGGGGGCAAGUAAUAACAUGUACUUGACAUCAGCCAGAAUUUUUUUGCCCUAAAAUAGAAGACAAAUGGUCACUUUUUUUUUUUUCUGUAGCUAGUGUAAAGAUAGUUGUAUAGAACUUUUGCUUGCAUUGAUUGGCUUCCAAGAUGCAGUCAAGUUUACUAUUUUCUGUUUAGUAUAUUACUAGUUUGAAAGUUCUUUUUGGAAACCUACUUGACUUCAGUGCUUGGCAGUUCAUGGAAAACUAACUUAAUGUUAACUUAUUAAUCCGGGUUCUGUCUGCUAAAAC
RNAcentral lists this long non-coding RNA (341 nucleotides) under Homo sapiens (human). Its description in RNAcentral is "HSALNT0062080". Lineage: Eukaryota; Metazoa; Chordata; Mammalia; Primates; Hominidae. The record is from RNAcentral.